CAACCUUUUUCUCCCACUUGAACUCCGCCGCCACCAGCCUCACCGUCGCCACCCGCAAGCGCCGCUGCUCUGGCGGCAUCCCUCCUCCCUCGCGUCUCUCUCCCUCUCUUCUUUCCCUUCUCUCUCUCAGCCUCACGCCGUCGCGCAGCCAUCCCCCCCUCCGGCUUUCCAGAUUCGCCGCCGCCGUGCAUGCACAGGCGGCGGCUUCGUCGUCCUUCUCCCGGAAGUCCGCCGUCUGCACGCUCCGUCUCUCUCUCUCUCUCUCUUGGUUCGCCGCACCGCCGCCGCCGCUGCGGAUCCGCCAUCAUCGCGGGUCCGCCCUAGCCGUUGUCGUCGAGGAUCUCCCCACCCAGCCGCCGACGCCGUCUCUCGAUAGGAAUGAAAAAGGACAGAUGUGUUUUUGGAGCGUGGGCUGCCAUCGUCGGCGAGGGAGUGCCGAGCUCGCUGCCGGAAGUUCUUCGGCAGAUUUACAGAUUGGUUCAAGAAAAGUUCCUAUAUUUAAUUGAGAGAAUCUGCAUUUUUUGUAUGUUCUUGGGAUGCUAUAGCAACUAUGUCCUUGAGGCUCUAAAAUUGUCCACAUGAAGUACAUAUUGAUGCUAAAUUGGUGUUCUUUAAAUUCUGGAUACUAGGUUUGUAUUUUGACAUAGACAUGUUUUUCCUAUGUGAAAUAUGCUGUAAUAUGUGGAAAGAAGGUGGGGUGUUGAUGAUACUCACCUAAAGUGACUCGUUGUUAUUUUGUUGGUUCUCUUUUUGGACCUUCCUUUAUGCUUGGUGGAAGGAUCUCUGCUACCUUUCCUUUCUCUCUUGUUUUUUUUGUUGAUGUGAAUAAACUUUGGUCGAAUGGUGGGGCAGGUGAAAAGGAUAGUAUUUAGGGGUGAAGAUAGCAAGUGGUCUGACAGAAUUUUAUCACAAAUAUUCUCAUCUGUCGGAGAAUAUUGUAUGAUACAAAUUUUAUCUGCAGCAUUAAAUGAGCUGUCUGUAAAUUGAUCCUCUAGGAUCUGCUUCCAUUAUUUAAUAUAUUUAUUUAUUUAUUAUUUAUUUAUUUAUUUAAUUAUUUAAGUAAUUGUUUAUUGAUUCAUUCACUUGUUUAUUAAAUUUUGGUGCAGGUAUAAUAGUUUCAAGUUCGUGGCCAUUCGCGUUGAAGUACCCGUUUUCUUAAAAUAUAUGAUGUAUAAAUUAAAUUUUCCUUGGACUUUUGUUGGAUGUAUCGGACAUUUAACAUUUUGAUUGUGGGACCUUAAUUAUUAAAUUUAUUAUAUUCAUAUA
Molecule: long non-coding RNA, 1266 nt
Organism: Salvia splendens (bonfire salvia)
Lineage: Eukaryota; Viridiplantae; Streptophyta; Magnoliopsida; Lamiales; Lamiaceae
Exons: 2
Source: RefSeq, a predicted model, not a curated record